UAGAGGAAGUAAAAGUCGUAACAAGGUUUCCGUAGGUGAACCUGCGGAAGGAUCAUUAUGUAUUCAUGGGAUACCAAUGCGUUCCCUGACACUAACCCUCUCCGCGUAUCAAUCCAUGUUGCUUUCCCAGGUGCUCGCUUGCCUGGGAGAGGUCCUAUCCAAAGCGAAUUAUUGAAUCAGCUGUCUGAGUUGGCCCAGUGCCAUAUUCUUUGAAUAAGUUAAAACUUUCAACAACGGAUCUCUUGGCUCUCGCAUCGAUGAAGAACGCAGCGAAAUGCGAUAAGUAAUGUGAAUUGCAGAAUUCAGUGAAUCAUCGAAUCUUUGAACGCACAUUGCGCCCCUUGGAAUUCCUUGGGGCAUGCCUGUUCGAGCGUCACUACAAACCCACUCAUGAAAUAUUAUGGUAUUGAUGGAGGUGGACUCUGGUUACUAAUGUGCCAGGAUUACCCCAUUGAAAUAUAUAGGCAGGACAGUAAACCUCUGCAAUGGACUUAGUAACUGUUGUGAAGACAUAGACCAGUCCUUUGCCGGGUUCCAGCCUGGCCUCCAUGGACCUCCAUCCAAGAUAAAAAACUCUGGGUUGACCUCGGAUCAGGUAGGGAUACCCGCUGAACUUAAGCAUAU
RNAcentral lists this ribosomal RNA (624 nucleotides) under uncultured Tuber. RNAcentral's name for it is "eukaryotic LSU rRNA". The stretch from base 223 to 376 matches the Rfam family "5.8S ribosomal RNA". The record is from RNAcentral. Lineage: Eukaryota; Fungi; Ascomycota; Pezizomycetes; Pezizales; Tuberaceae.